UGGGGAAUUUUGCACAAUGGGGGAAACCCUGAUGCAGCGACGCCGCGUGAUUUAGAAGGCCUUCGGGUUGUAAAAAUCUUUUCUAUGGGAAGAAAAUGACAGUACCAUAGGAAUAAGGACCGGCUAAUUACGUGCCAGCAGCCGCGGUAAUCCGUAAGGUCCGAGCGUUGUCCGGAAUCAUUGGGCGUAAAGGGUACGUAGGCGGGUAAGCAAGUUAGGAGUGAAAUCCUGUAGCUCAACUACAGUAAGCUUUUAAAACUGCUCAUCUUGAGAUAUGGAAGGGAAAGUGGAAUUCCUAGUGUAGCGGUGAAAUGCGCAGAUAUUAGGAGGAAUACCGGUGGCGAAGGAGACUUUCUGGCCAUAAUCUGACGCUGAGGUACGAAAGCGUGGGUAGCAAACAGG
RNAcentral lists this ribosomal RNA (402 nucleotides) under Bacteroidota bacterium. RNAcentral describes it as "Bacteroidetes bacterium partial 16S ribosomal RNA". It matches the Rfam family "Bacterial small subunit ribosomal RNA", at positions 355 to 776 of the family's 1533-position model. The record is from RNAcentral. Lineage: Bacteria; Pseudomonadati; Bacteroidota.